CCUUGUCCUUGUCCCUUCAUCCAGUCGCCCCGUCUCAAAACAUUGUUGAAUCACGCACGCUUUAAAUUUUCUUCACCAGUUCGAUAAAAUUGUAAUUCCCUUCCGUGACUUUUAUCUAUUUGCGUUUUUUAUCAAACGAUAAACAGGUUAAAAACCUAAGUGAGCGUACAAUAAAACUUAUAAAUAAACUAUUAAUAAAUUUCUUAGUGAGUAAAUUAUGAUAACUCCCAAGUACGGUGCACAUAAACCCUCCAUAAACUUCUCUUAUCACACUUCUUAGGCUGUAAAUACCAAAUAAUGUUGGCCGCACGUCGUUAAAAUAGAGUUUUAUUAAUAAAUAGUAAAAGUAAUUUAUGGUUUUUAACAAUGCAAGGCGUUGGCGACGGUUUCACUCUCUUUUAUAUUUUGUACACAAGAAUUAAUCGAAACGACGAAAAAUGUGGACUUUACACGGAGGAAGAAAUAUUUUCGUCGUUUCAAAUUUAUGAUAAAAUAUUCGAAACGCUUUAUUUAAACAAAGGAGGGGUCAAUUUUACCUUUAAUGCAAAUUAAUUUAUGACAAAUUGAUGAAUGCAAAGGUUAUUAAAGUUGGUUUAAUGGCAUUAGAAAUUUAUUUUAUUGGCCAAACAACAGUUAGAUUAUAGAAAAAUGUCAGUGUUUUUAAUUAUUUGCCGAAUUUAUACAAACCAUUAAAACGCCUACGGCACCGUUUAAACAAUAGAUUUGCCGUUUUGUGAAUAAAUAAUGAAUCAUCUGACAUUAUCUGAUUAUUUGGAACCACUCAAAAUCAAUGACGAACCUAAACAAUUAUCAGUGAUUCACCUAAAAUUAGAUAUAAAACACCAUUCGUUCAAUUGAAUGCGUAGUUAUUUUUCUGUGUCAGAAAUGCCACACCAUCACCACCACCACCACCAUGGCCACCACCACCAUCAUGGGUUUGUGUCCCAUCUCAUGGAAAAUGUGGCCCAUGCCGUCCACCACAACGGACAUCAUCAUCAUCAACAACCAAUGCCAAUACCAACAUAUGGUGUCGUAAUUAACACCCAACCGCCACCACCGCCACCGCCACCAUAUUAUGCUCAUCAGUGUCGUGGGUACCAUAGACAUUGUCAUUAUGGACAUGGGCAUAACUGCCAUUGUUGCUGUUGAAUAAAAUUUUAAGCAAUUAAA
Tribolium castaneum (red flour beetle) is the source of this 1170-nucleotide RNA transcript. RefSeq lists it as uncharacterized. The record is from RefSeq and is a predicted model, not a curated record. The transcript has 2 exons. NCBI's taxonomy places the organism in Eukaryota, Metazoa, Arthropoda, Insecta, Coleoptera, Tenebrionidae.